UCUUUGUUUGGGGUCCCUCUUUGGAGGCACCCAACUCGAGCUGUAACUACUGCAUGCGUGUCAUUCUGAACUUUUCAGCGGGAACCUAGGGUCGGACCCUGCUCGAGUUGUAAUUACUGCACGCGCAUCGCUAAAAUUUACACCCAGGGUGAAGAGGACAACGAGACGCCGCUGGAUCCACGGCUCUGUGGAAGUGCUGCUUUCUACACGACUAGACUGAGUCUGGACAGAUGGAAACACUGUGGGUGCUGAACAAGCAGCCUCUAUAGAGAAGCCAGCAGCGUGUGAAAGUUUGGGAAUUCCCUUCCCAAAUCACUCCAGCUCUGCUCCUGAUCUCUGCUCACAGCCCUGCCCGCUUGCAGUAGGAUCCCCAUCCGAUGGCAGAGAAACUCAGCAGCUCUACACAGACCUGGAGACGUGGCUUUACAUGGCUGUUACUAGAAGACGACUUGCAUAGGAACACAGUUCCUUCCUGACAGCAGCGUUUCUCCUUCGCCAGAAGAGCAGCUGUGGAGAUUUCUCAAGAUAAAUGCUGCUGCAGACAGCUGGAGACCAUCACCAGUCUUUGGCUGCGGUCAGAGGUGCAUGAUGAGGUUGCUGGGACACCUCAGGGAAGUGGAGAUAUGUUGCUGAGCAGACGCCUUGGGUUUCUACUCCUCUCCAGUGUAUACUGCUCAUACCACAAUUUUUGAUUUUCACAUCAAAGAUUUAGAGUCCUGUCCAGAUGAUACAGUGGAAGAGCCAUGGAGUAAGACAUCUCUGCUAAAUAAUUUGGUACGAGUUCUGGAUACAGACCACAUAAAGGGGGGAAAGAUCUGCCUUCAGCUGUAUCAGUACAUCUUGCGCUAACAGCUGUGCUUGCACAGCUGAAGACAGAAUGAGUCUAGGAGUUGUCCUAAAGGCAGGAAAGGCACAUUUAACUAAUUCCAACAAAAGUUUCUUAAAUUCAUUAACAACCAAAGCUCAGAGCCUACAGAUUUCUCAAAAGAUCAGUGCCGUCCUGCAGCCAAAGGUAACGAUGCAUUCCCAGCAGAGGAAGCAGCCGACUCUGCUAAGGUUGAGGCUGUUGCAUGCACAGUCUCAGGUUUCCUUGCCUCUUUUUAUUGCUGUCAUGGGACUCAUGUCUAAGGGACAUUUAAAGGGAAUGUAAAACCCUGAUGCACACCAGCAAGAAGAAAAUAUGCUGAAAGCAACAAACACUGCAAGCAACAAAGCUUGCAGUGACAAAAUGGCAUUGCUGGGGAAAUCGGGGCAAAAUUUAAACAACAGGAAUUCAUCUUUAGAGAGAUCUUGAGCGAUGCAGUGAGUUUAUUUCAAUGGCCUCUUAUAAGCACAGCAUGAAAGCCUCUUGCAUAGCAGCUUCAGUGCUUGUGAAUAGACUGGGAUGAUCCAGUCUUUCCAAAACUACCUGACUGAGAGUGUUAAGGCACAGACAUAAUCAUUCCAGAGGUUAGGAAGAGCUCUUUCCCAAUUCUGCCAUAUCUCACCAAAUGAAAAAUUUUUAUUACAAAAGAAUGACAAGUGUAGAACAGUUUCGGUUUUAAUUCAGUAAAUUCUCUGCUGCUGGUACUGGUAGGUAUUUCUUUGCCUCAUUGUGCAGGUGAGCCCCUGUAGAGGAGAAAAAGUGAAAGAUAAUUAUAUUUCAUGAUGACUUUUGACUUCUCAUGUCCUCUGUCAAUACUGCU
Dromaius novaehollandiae (emu) is the source of this 1685-nucleotide long non-coding RNA. RefSeq lists it as uncharacterized. The transcript is spliced from 3 exons. The record is from RefSeq and is a predicted model, not a curated record. Lineage: Eukaryota; Metazoa; Chordata; Aves; Casuariiformes; Dromaiidae.